RNAcentral lists this signal recognition particle RNA (266 nucleotides) under Gottschalkia acidurici 9a. RNAcentral's name for it is "[Clostridium] acidurici 9a Bacterial large signal recognition particle RNA". It matches the Rfam family "Bacterial large signal recognition particle RNA". Rfam says of the family: The signal recognition particle (SRP) is a universally conserved ribonucleoprotein involved in the co-translational targeting of proteins to membranes. The record is from Rfam by way of RNAcentral. Lineage: Bacteria; Bacillati; Bacillota; Tissierellia; Tissierellales; Gottschalkiaceae.
UCAUGCUAGACGGGGAGGUAGCGGUGCCCUGUAACCUGCAAUCCGCUAUAGCAGGGUUGAAUUCCUAGUAUAGGCAUAUUUACUGUGAGGCCUGCCCUAAAAAAGUGGUGUUGACGAUUGGGUCCUGCGCAACGGGAACCUAUGAAUCCCGUCAGGUCCGGAAGGAAGCAGCGGUAAGUAGUAACUCUCGUGUGCCGCGGGGGUGCCUAGUCCGAGCUAACUAUUUAGGUAACGCUUAUGGUAGUAUGUCGAAGCUAGGUGCAUGA